GGCGGGCUGAGUAGCGGAUGCGGGCGGCUGGGGUGUCCUGGCAGGGGAAGAUGGAGCGGGCGUGGAUCGACUGGCACUGGGUGUAGACGAAGGGGAGGGAGGAGGUUUGCGGCGGCGAGAGCCAUUGGAGGGCGGAGGAGGAGGGGGAGGUGGAGAAGGUGAGGAGGAUGGAGGAGGCGGCGGAGGGGAGGGAGAGGGUGAG
Molecule: unclassified non-coding RNA, 202 nt
Filed under: Hevea brasiliensis (rubber tree)
Lineage: Eukaryota; Viridiplantae; Streptophyta; Magnoliopsida; Malpighiales; Euphorbiaceae
Source: RNAcentral